GACAUAUAGUCACCGCCUGGAAGAGAUCCGGCUACACUUUGGAAGUGAGGACAGCCAAGGGUCUGAGCACCUCCUCAACGGACAGGCCUUCUCUGGGGAGGUGCAACUCAUCCACUAUAACCACGAGCUAUACACAAAUGUCACAGAAGCUGCGAAGAGCCCGAACGGAUUGGUGGUAGUUUCUAUAUUUAUAAAAGUAAGUCUUGCAUUCCUUUACUCUUAUUGCACUCCCCAGCACCAACCAGGGCAUCCUUCUACAGUCUCCGUUGGAAUUUUGAAAAGUUAAAGAAGUAAUUUCAAUUCGCGUCUAUGCCUGAGAUAAUUUUGAGGUCUUAGGACUGUUAUAACCAUGAGAUUCAUAAAAG
RNAcentral lists this long non-coding RNA (365 nucleotides) under Rattus norvegicus (Norway rat). RNAcentral's name for it is "long non-coding RNA NONRATT004750". The record is from RNAcentral. Lineage: Eukaryota; Metazoa; Chordata; Mammalia; Rodentia; Muridae.